Molecule: ribosomal RNA, 496 nt
Filed under: uncultured bacterium
Lineage: Bacteria
Description: partial 16S ribosomal RNA
Rfam family: Bacterial small subunit ribosomal RNA
Source: RNAcentral
GACGAACGCUGGCGGCGUGCCUAAUACAUGCAAGUUGAGCGCUGAAGGUUGGUACUUGUACCAACUGGAUGAGCAGCGAACGGGUGAGUAACGCGUGGGUAAUCUGCCUUUGAGCGGGGGACAACAUUUGGAAACGAAUGCUAAUACCGCAUAAAAUCUUUAAACACAAGUUUUAAGUUUGAAAGAUGCAAUUGCAUCACUCAAAGAUGAUCCCGCGUUGUAUUGGCUAGUUGGUGAGGUAAAGCUCACCAAGGCGAUGAUACAUAGCCGACCCGAGAGGGUGAUAGGCCACAUUGGGACUGAGACACGGCCCAAACUCCUACGGGAGGCAGCAGUAGGGAAUCUUCGGCAAUGGACGAAAGUCUGACCGAGCAACGCCGCGUGAGUGAAGAAGGUUUUCGGAUCGUAAAACUCUGUUGGUAGAGAAGAACGUUGGUGAGAGUGGAAAGCUCAUCAAGUGACGGUAACUACCCAGAAAGGGACGGCUAACUACGUG